UCUCAUCUGACCGUUCCCUCAUCCAUCUCCAGCUGUUUUCAUUGAACAUCAGUGGCAUAUAAAUGUUUUUCAGUUGUGAUGGAAGUGAGCACACCAGCCAUGCAGUGUGGCAAGCUGCAUCUGAAGCAUCUCUUAAAGCUCCAUCUCGGUUGUGUGUCAGAUCUCAUGCUCCUGAGCUACUUUGAGAACAGCUGUUCCUGGAUGGAUUUUAGCGCUUCUGUUCCUGACCUGAACAAAAAUGAAGAGGAUGACCAGGUUGGCAAUGGAAGUAUUGAAAUGCAGCAGCUUCUUUGUGGAGUGACUGGAGGAGAUGGAGGAGCCUGGGCAUGGCGGCCGUACUUGCCAAUCAAUACCUACAAGAUUUUUGCAAAUAAGUUAUAAAACAAAGUUAAUGUUUCAUGAAAUAUGGAUUCAGACCAACUCUGUGCCCCAAGCUGAGAUCAUACUAGGGUUUGUAGUUUCUGUAUGUCUGCUAAGCAGCAAUUACACAAUUCUCAGAGGAAAACCGAGCUUGGCCAGCAGUGUUUUCCUGGUAGUCACUAAUCUUACCAGAGAAACGGAUACUUUUUUCUAUAGUUAGCAAUCUGCCAGCCCAUUCUUUGCAUAAGUGGAAGCUUUGCUGAAUUCUCAAUGUAAAUGAUAUGGGAAAGCUAAGCAUACGAUUUUUAUUAGUAGGUAUAACAAGAAAAAGCAUAGGAAAACAAAUGAUUCAAAGAAUGUUCCAAAUGAAUCAUGUAAAUUAAGUGCAUGACCAAAAACUGUUGUUUUGCAUAUUUUCAAUAGUUAUAAUUAACUGAGAUGUCUGGGAGCAAAAACAUGAGCAAGCCAGGAGUGGCAGCUGAAUGAAUAGUGCAGAAGCAGCUGGCUAUGUGGAGACAAAUUCCUGCUGUCUGAGGGCAGCAGCUUGCUUCUGAAAGGAGCGACUGAAAUCAGUGAGCCCCACAAAGCAGUAAGCUUUAUUUCAAUGUAAAGAUGUAUUCUUAAAGAGUGAUGGCUGAGUGAACGCUUCUUACCUUCCUCCAUUUUAGCAUUAGCAAUGAGCAUUUGCCUCAGAUGUUUGAGGAGUCCAGGCCAACUGAACGUGCUAUAUGCAAGGCAGUUUUCAGGCAUCUGAGGUAUGUUACGGAGACCCAACAUCUUGAAUUCAGGAUGUGGAACUAAAGUUUCCAUUAAGUCUCCUUAAAAAAAAAAAAAAUAAAUAACAGCUGCUCAUGUUUGGCAAAAUACUGCAUAGGCUAGUUAAAAAAGAAGAAGAGCAUGAGGAUUUUACAAAGAUAGUAACUGAAGGUAAGAAAGCAGAAUAUGUAAAGUUUAAAUUUAACAAAUAUACAGAUGCAUCUGACAAAAUGCAAAGAUUUACAACCUACCACUGAGUUUUAUACAGGCAAGUUAGAAGCUCUUAUUUGACAAUUUAGACUUGCCCUCCUUUUAGUCUGGCUCAGAAUCUUAAAGACCUUAUAUGCUUCUGAAGAGGUGGAAAGGAAAAUGAGAGCUUAAUUUUACAAGCAGCAUCUUGGCAAGCCAGUUGCUUGCUGCUACCAAGUUGCAUGUUAGUGUGUUUUCUGAGCUGAACACAAAACUAGCCUUUUGUUUGUACAAACUUCUAACCUAACAUUAAAUGUUAAAACUCAGUCUAAGAUUAGUGCCCGGCAGAAAUUUCCUCUGAAAGGUAAAUGAGUACAGGAGUGGUAGUCAUUUGAAAAAGGAGGAACAUGAGUCUUCUGCUAAAGAAGGAAACGAGAAGCUGGUUAUCUAUUUUUGACUCUGCUGCAAAAUUAGGGUUGAAUUACUAACUUAGUCUUUCGCUUCCCUAUCUAUUUUUACUAUCGUAAGCCUUGGGUUAUAUCCAAGUAGUUGAGUAAAAGAGACUGAAGAACUUAAAUUCCCAAAAUGAAAUGAUUACAGAAAGAUGUGUAAGAAUGCCUUAAGUAUCUACAUUGCAGUUAGAUACCUAAAGGGUUUCUGCUAUAGUGUAAGCCAGCUUCUGCUGUGUGAGCAGGCUGGAAAACACUCCCCAGUUGAUGUGCAAUGACUUGAUUUACAUCCCUGAAGGAGAUCUGUUUAAUAUGCAUCAGCUGAGCACAGAUCUUGUGGAUGACAUCAUUUUCAUGAACAAGAAGAGCAUCUGAUGACUGAUACAGAUGUGACAGAGUCAAAACAGAGUUGUAGUUUUGAACAAUGACCUGGAAAAAGAAAAAAAAAAAAAACACCAAAUGAGAGUCAAACAACUUGAUCUCUUUCUAUAGUUUAAUAUAUUCCUCUGGCUACUGUCAUUUACUCAGUUGUAGUUAAGGAAGUGAUUCAUCUUUGUCAAAGUGCAGAAUAAGGUCAGGAGCUGUCACAGCUUUUUCAUGGAAAUGGAGCAAGACCUAUGAAAAUCAUGUUAACUCAUCUCAGUUCAGAAGGAACUGAUUACCAUGCUCAGAUACUGUCAUAACAGGAGAUUUCUAGAUAGCUAGUAGAGCUUCUCAUGAAACUGCAUUAUACCCCAGUGCUUUUGUAAGUAAAUUUUAAAUGUUUUCUUACAAGCCUGAGAUAGCCACAGUUUUUUUACAUUAAACUACCAAAUACGAAGCAAACAAAUUGUUUUGUGUCAUGUGGAACUUUCAAAGAAUGAAGUGUUUCUCUUCUAGUUUAUUUCAGUUGCAUCUACUCUGUUUUACUCAUGAAAAGCAAGCAGUUUAUUUAGAUUUCCGUUCCUCUGUGAUCACAAUUAUAAUCUUGCAAAAUAUCUCUGGGAAAAAUGACAUUCACCUCACCAGUGCCAUAGGGCCAGAUAACAUGGUUUAGUAUAAACGAUCUUGGAAAAGCAUCUCUUAAACACUGAGUCACAAAUGCUCCUAGGCCAGAACCUGUACCACCAGCCAUGCUCAUUAUUGUGAAAAAUCCACUGAGUCGGUCACACUUCUCUACUUCUUUUUGCACUAGAUUCAUGAUUACUUCUUUGUUUCUAGGCCCGUGAACAGAGUAACUGUAGAAUAAAGGGAAAAAAAACGGCAGGUGAUAUAAAGGCAGUAAGGUCAGCCUAUUCAUAAAGGGUACUUUUCUUUGUAUUACCAGUGUAACCUGGCACUGUGUCACUCAUUCUACUUGUAGUAAAUAAUCCUCAGCUGUGGCAUUUAUUUUGCAAAAGAGCUGUUUAGAAAUUGAACUUAUUGUUAACCCAUUGUUAAACAUAUUCUAAGCCAUUACAUUUUCCCUGUAAAUACCAAUUUCGUUUUGCAAAAAGCAGUGUAGAAACGUUGCUGCUGUAUGUACUGUUUCUCUACCUUAAGUCAUUAAAGAAUGUUUCUCACACAGCUGCAACAGUAUCACUCGUAGAGAGCACAGACAGCUCAUUAUCCCCUACAGUUCCGCUAGCGAAGCUGGAAAUGAUUCCUACCCAUUUGCCCAGUUGUUCCCAGACCCUUGCUUCUGACAGAAGUGCGACUGAUCAUCGUAUUUCCAAUGGCCAGACCGGGCAGCUAUCGAUAAAGUUUGGCUGAUUACUUUAGGUUCCAUGUCAACAAGCACAGCCCGGGCAACAGGUACUGUAUGGGGAAGAGAAACAAAACUAAGUGCCAACAUCACAACUUGUUUAUAUGAGAUACUGACUUGCAUCAUGACCCAAGUUGUAUUCCUUCCACCCACAUAAGCCCAACUAGAACAGAAAACAGGAUGCAGAAGUGUCCUGGAUUUCACGAGAACCACUGAUAGUACUAAAGAUAGAUCUGAAUAACAGGGACAUGGAUCUUUUGGGAAAGAAAUGUCUUAAUUUGCUUGUUAACACUAGAUUCAAAUAGUCUAGACCCUACUCCAUGGUAUUAUCUGCCUACAAUGGGAAAUGUGGAUAUUUGGAAGGGAAGACUGUUUAUGCAUACAUGUCCCAUUUCCAGCUGUACUACUGGCAGACACGAUCCAUGGCCUCAGGCAUUCUACCAGUUUUGAUUUUGCUUCUGUAGUUGUAAGCAAUGUCAGGAAGGCAUAAAGCUGGGACAGUUCUUCCAGACUGAAGGUAGAACUUGGAUGAUGUCAGUACCAGACCUUCUGUGGGACACAAAACACCAAAAUGCUGUACCUCCAGACUCUGCCUCGCUGAAAAACCGUUCUGUACAAGCAUCGUGGUAGGCUUCAUUCUCCUUCUUGGAACACAACCCGUGUGUGCCACGGACAUCGGCACAGAUGGUGUUAAACACCUCAUGACCAAUUUGGUUACCACACUGGCCAAGCUGGACUGCAACUAUUGACAUUCUAAUUCACCUCGUGUUUAGCCCUAAAAAAAA
Lagopus leucura (white-tailed ptarmigan) is the source of this 4262-nucleotide long non-coding RNA. RefSeq lists it as uncharacterized. The transcript is spliced from 3 exons. The record is from RefSeq and is a predicted model, not a curated record. Lineage: Eukaryota; Metazoa; Chordata; Aves; Galliformes; Phasianidae.